UGGGAUUCUCUAAAGGUUCCUUACAGAGAAAGACCCAUGUCCUGCGAGUUUGGUCCGAAACGGACGGUCGGAUUAGCCAAAAUUGCAUUAUCGCUUAAAAUCCAAACUCUAGCCCCAGGGUUCGCGAUUUCGGAGUAUCCGGGACUCCGAUUCGCAAUCCGUCGAAUCCUACACGAUCCUGAAAUCAUGUAGAAUGACAUAUCUGAAUUUGGGUGUGAUCCAACGGCUCGACGACACUGCACCCAAGGAUCGC
Molecule: long non-coding RNA, 253 nt
Filed under: Prunus persica (peach)
Lineage: Eukaryota; Viridiplantae; Streptophyta; Magnoliopsida; Rosales; Rosaceae
Description: long non-coding RNA (PPER_LNC003205)
Source: RNAcentral